GGAGGUGUGCCAGAGCGGCCGAAUGGGGCUCCCUGCUAAGGAGUUGACUCGCAAGGGUCCGAAGGUUCAAAUCCUUUCACCUCCG
RNAcentral lists this transfer RNA (85 nucleotides) under Corynebacterium kroppenstedtii DSM 44385. It matches the Rfam family "tRNA". From Rfam's summary of the family: Transfer RNA (tRNA) molecules are approximately 80 nucleotides in length. Their secondary structure includes four short double-helical elements and three loops (D, anti-codon, and T loops). Lineage: Bacteria; Bacillati; Actinomycetota; Actinomycetes; Mycobacteriales; Corynebacteriaceae. The record is from Rfam by way of RNAcentral.